CGCAGAGGGGCAUGCGUCGCCCGCACGGGACGCGUGCUAAUGCGGCGGAGCCGGUCCCAAGCCCGG
Molecule: non-coding RNA, 66 nt
Filed under: unclassified sequences
Source: RNAcentral